Molecule: ribosomal RNA, 1110 nt
Filed under: Clostridium sp. C11
Lineage: Bacteria; Bacillati; Bacillota; Clostridia; Eubacteriales; Clostridiaceae
Description: bacterial SSU rRNA
Rfam family: Bacterial small subunit ribosomal RNA
Source: RNAcentral
CCGAAAGGGUUUUUUCCCUUAAUUUAAAAUCCCUAUUUUUACUAAGAGUAUGCGUAGAGAUGACCGCGCCCUUAGUAGUGGUAAGUAAGGCUCCCAAGCGACGAUCGUAGCGACUGAGAGGUGAUCGCCACAUGGAAUGAACACGUCCAACUCUACGGGAGCAGCAGUGGGAAUAUGCGCAAUGGGGAAACCUGAUGCAGCACGCCGCGUGAUGAGAAGCCUCAGGUCGUAAAGUUUGUCAUAAGGAAGAUAUGACGUACUUAUGAGAAGCCCGGCUACUACGUCCAGCAGCCGCGGUAUACGUAGGGGCUAGCGUUUCCGGAUUACUGGGGUAAAGGUGCGUAGGUGGUUUUUAAGUCAGAUUGAAAUACCAGGGCUCAACUGUAGUGCUGCAUUGGAAAUUGGGAAUCUGGAUUCCAGAAGAGAAAAUCGAAAUUCUUAGUGAACCGGUAAAUUGGGUGGUAAUUAGGAGGACCACCAGUGCGAAGGGGGGUUUUUUGGACUGUAAUGGCCGUUGAGCCAGAAAAGCGUGGGGACCAACCAGGUUUGGUUCCCUUGGUGUUCCACCCCUUAAACGAUGAAUAUUAGGUGUAGGAGUUAUCCCCCCCUUCUCUGCCGCAGUUACCACAAUAACUAUUCCGCGUGGGGAGUACGAUAACAGGAUACAACUCAAAGGAAUUGAGGGGGCCCACAACAAGCAGCGGAUCAUGUGGUUUAAUUCGAAGCAACGAGAACGAACCUUACCUUGACUUUCCAUCCCCCGAAUUACUAAUAAGGAUUUUACCCCUUUGGGGGCAGGGGAGACAGGUGGUGCAUGGUUGUCGUCAGCUCGUGUCGUGAGAUGUUGGGUUAAGUCCCGCAACGAGCGCAACCCUUUCCUUUAGUUGCUACCAUUAAGUUGAGCACUCUAGAGGGACUGCCAGGGAUAACCGGGAGGAAGGUGGGGAUGACGUCAAAUCAUCAUGCCCCUUAUGUCUAGGGCUACACACGUGCUACAAUGGUUGGUACAAUGAGCAGCAAUGUCGUGAGGUGGAGCUAAUCUUAUAAAACCAAUCCCAGUUCGGAUUGUAGGCUGAAACUCGCCUACAUGAAGCCGGAGUUUCUAGUAAU